GAUCUGGGGGGUGGCAGCGGACCGCGAGGUCCAACCAGCGCGGCGUCCUGAUCCGGUCGCCAAACCGUCGUGCUGGGCCAAUGGCGAGACCGACCCGUCGAUC
This 103-nucleotide non-coding RNA is filed under the name unclassified sequences. RNAcentral's name for it is "c-di-GMP sequence". It matches the Rfam family "c-di-GMP-II-GAG riboswitch aptamer". The record is from Rfam by way of RNAcentral.